CUCUCCUCCUUUGGACGGUCUAAUAUUACCUGGAGUGACACGAAAGUCGAUGAUUGAACUGGCGCACAAGUGGGGUGAAUUUAAAGUAUCGGAAAGGCUAUUUACGAUGAAAGAAUUGAAGAAAUGUCUCAAGGAGAGAAUAAAGUGAAAGAAAUAUUUGGCGCUGGUACGGCUUGCGUCGUAUGUCCUGUCAAAGAUAUACUUUAUAAAGAUGAGAUGCUUCAUAUACCAACAAUGGAAAAUGGUACAAAGAUCGCCAGACGGUUUUACAAGGAACUUACUGAUAUUCAGUAUGGAAAAGUUUCCAUUCCAUGGGCAUAUGUUGUAAAUGAUUCAUCUGAUGAG
Xenia sp. Carnegie-2017 is the source of this 345-nucleotide long non-coding RNA. RefSeq lists it as uncharacterized. The transcript is spliced from 5 exons. Lineage: Eukaryota; Metazoa; Cnidaria; Anthozoa; Malacalcyonacea; Xeniidae. The record is from RefSeq and is a predicted model, not a curated record.